AAGAGGGGUGCCCGUGCAGGACCGUCCGGUCGGGCUGAGAUCAUACCCUAUGAACUUGAUGCGGGUCAUGCCGCCGAAAGGACUUGUUC
Molecule: non-coding RNA, 89 nt
Filed under: uncultured Alistipes sp.
Lineage: Bacteria; Pseudomonadati; Bacteroidota; Bacteroidia; Bacteroidales; Rikenellaceae
Description: TPP riboswitch (THI element)
Rfam family: TPP riboswitch aptamer (THI element)
About the family: Vitamin B(1) in its active form thiamin pyrophosphate (TPP) is an essential coenzyme that is synthesised by coupling of pyrimidine and thiazole moieties in bacteria. The previously detected thiamin-regulatory element, thi box was extended, resulting in a new, highly conserved RNA secondary structure, the THI element, which is widely distributed in eubacteria and also occurs in some archaea. Analysis of operon structures identified a large number of new candidate thiamin-regulated genes, mostly transporters, in various prokaryotic organisms.
Source: RNAcentral